UGAGGAAUAUUGGUCAAUGGACGCAAGUCUGAACCAGCCAUGCCGCGUGCAGGAUGACGGCUCUAUGAGUUGUAAACUGCUUUUGUACGAGGGUAAACCCGGAUACGUGUAUCCGGCUGAAAGUAUCGUACGAAUAAGGAUCGGCUAACUCCGUGCCUGCAGCCGCGGUAAUACGGAGGAUUCAAGCGUUAUCCGGAUUUAUUGGGUUUAAAGGGUGCGUAGGCGGUUUGAUAAGUUAGAGGUGAAAUGCCGGUGCUUAACACCGGAACUGCCUCUAAUACUGUUGAGCUAGAGAGUAGUUGCGGUAGGCGGAAUGUAUGGUGUAGCGGUGAAAUGCUUAGAGAUCAUACAGAACACCGAUUGCGAAGGCAGCUUACCAAACUAUAUCUGACGUUGAGGCACGAAAGCGUGGGGAGCAAACAGGAUUAGAUACCCUGGUA
This 440-nucleotide ribosomal RNA is filed under the name uncultured Alistipes sp. Its description in RNAcentral is "bacterial SSU rRNA". It matches the Rfam family "Bacterial small subunit ribosomal RNA", at positions 355 to 792 of the family's 1533-position model. The record is from RNAcentral. Lineage: Bacteria; Pseudomonadati; Bacteroidota; Bacteroidia; Bacteroidales; Rikenellaceae.